This 300-nucleotide ribosomal RNA is filed under the name uncultured Bacillus sp. RNAcentral describes it as "bacterial SSU rRNA". The stretch from base 62 to 300 matches the Rfam family "Bacterial small subunit ribosomal RNA", at positions 557 to 795 of the family's 1533-position model. Lineage: Bacteria; Bacillati; Bacillota; Bacilli; Caryophanales; Bacillaceae. The record is from RNAcentral.
GUGAAAGGGGGACAGACGGCGCGGGUAAUACGGAGGUGGCGAUCGUUAAUCUGAAGGAGAUGGCGUAAAGCGCGCGUAGGGGGUUCAGGAAGAUUGGUGUGAAAUCCCCUGGCUUAACCUGGGAACUGAGUUCAUAACUGCUGAGCGAGAGUACGGUAGAGGGUAGUGGAAUUUCCUGUGUAGCGGUGAAAUGCGUAGAUAUAGGAAGGAACACCAGUGGCGAAGGCGACUACCUGGACUGAUACUGACACUGAGGUGCGAAAGCGUGGGGAGCAAACAGGAUUAGAUACCCGAGUAGUC